This 467-nucleotide ribosomal RNA is filed under the name uncultured bacterium. RNAcentral describes it as "partial 16S ribosomal RNA". It matches the Rfam family "Bacterial small subunit ribosomal RNA", at positions 28 to 507 of the family's 1533-position model. The record is from RNAcentral.
GAUGAACGCUGACAGAAUGCUUAACACAUGCAAGUCCACUUGAAUUUGGGUUUUUAACUUAGGUUUGGGUGGCGGACGGGUGAGUAACGCGUAAAGAACUUGCCUCACAGCUAGGGACAACAUUUGGAAACGAAUGCUAAUACCUAAUAUUAUGAUAAUAGGGCAUCCUAUAAUUAUGAAAGCUAUAAGCGCUGUGAGAGAGCUUUGCGUCCCAUUAGCUAGUUUGAGAGGUAACGGCUCACCAAGGCGAUGAUGGGUAGCCGGUCUGAGAGGGUGAUCGGCCACAAGGGGACUGAGACACGGCCCUUACUCCUACGGGAGGCAGCAGUGGGGAAUAUUGGACAAUGGACCGAGAGUCUGAUCCAGCAAUUCUGUGUGCACGAUGAAGUUUUUCGGAAUGUAAAGUGCUUUCAGUUGGGAAGAAACAAAUGACGGUACCAACAGAAGAAGUGACGGCUAAAUACGUG